ACGUAGGGUGCGAGCGUUAAUCGGAAUUACUGGGCGUAAAGGGCGCGUAGGCGGUCAGCACAAGUCAGUUGUGAAAUCUCCGAGCUUAACUCGGAAAGGUCAACCGAUACUGCGGGGCUAGAGUGCAGAAGGGGCAACUGGAAUUCUCGGUGUAGCGGUGAAAUGCGUAGAUAUCGAGAGGAACACCUGCGGCGAAGGCGGGUUGCUGGGCUGACACUGACGCUGAUGCGCGAAAGCUAGGGGAGCGAACGGGA
This 254-nucleotide ribosomal RNA is filed under the name uncultured prokaryote. RNAcentral describes it as "partial 16S ribosomal RNA". It matches the Rfam family "Bacterial small subunit ribosomal RNA", at positions 525 to 777 of the family's 1533-position model. The record is from RNAcentral.